This 496-nucleotide ribosomal RNA is filed under the name uncultured bacterium. RNAcentral describes it as "partial 16S ribosomal RNA". It matches the Rfam family "Bacterial small subunit ribosomal RNA", at positions 29 to 507 of the family's 1533-position model. The record is from RNAcentral.
AUGCACGCUGGCGGCGUGCCUAAUACCUGCCAGUCGAGCUAACGGACGAGAAGCUUGCUUCUCUGAUGUUAGCGGCGGACGGGUGAGUAACACGUGGAUAACCUACCUAUAAGACUGGGAUAACUUCGGGAAACCGUAGCUAAUACCGGAUAAUAUUUUGAACCGCAUGGUUCAAAAGUGAAAGACGGUCUUGCUGUCACUUAUAGAUGGAUCCGCGCUGCAUUAGCUAGUUGGUAAGGUAACGGCUUACCAAGGCAACGAUGCAUAGCCGACCUGAGAGGGUGAUCGGCCACACUGGAACUGAGACACGGUCCAGACUCCUACGGGAGGCAGCAGUAGGGAAUCUUCCGCAAUGGGCGAAAGCCUGACGGAGCAACGCCGCGUGAGUGAUGAAGGUCUUCGGAUCGUAAAACUCUGUUAUUAGGGAAGAACAUAUGUGUAAGUAACUGUGCACAUCUUGACGGUACCUAAUCAGAAAGCCACGGCUAACUACGUG